RNAcentral lists this unclassified non-coding RNA (1755 nucleotides) under Hevea brasiliensis (rubber tree). Lineage: Eukaryota; Viridiplantae; Streptophyta; Magnoliopsida; Malpighiales; Euphorbiaceae. The record is from RNAcentral.
AUCGAACUGAAACCCUAAUGCAACUCUACAAAACCUUCAUUUUCUUCCUUUUUCUUUUUCCUCAGUAGCACAGCACGCGGAGGUUAAAGAGACGGCGCUGUCUUGCUGUCCGCCUUGACCAAGCCGUAGCUUCGUCUUGGCCCUAUAGUUUUAUUGGAUCAUACUCUCGUCCUAGUUAGAAUCUUCUGUGUUUUUGUUCUUGCAAAAUCAGGAUAAAAUGUCUGGAAAACCAUCCAAAGCUGAUAAGAAGAUUGCUUACGAUGCUAAGCUCUGCCAGUUGCUCGACGAGUACAGCCAGAUCUUGAUUGUGGCGGCAGAUAAUGUUGGGUCGAACCAGCUCCAGAACAUUAGGACGGGUCUUAGAGGUGACUCUGUGGUUCUCAUGGGAAAGAAUACCAUGAUGAAGAGGACCAUUAGAGUCCAUUCUGAGAAGACUGGCAACAACGCUUUCCUUAACCUCAUCCCCCUCCUUCAGGGUAACGUGGGACUGAUUUUCACCAAAGGUGAUCUCAAGGAAGUGAGCGAAGAGGUUGCCAAGUACAAGGUGGAGCAACUGAUCUCUUUUUGAUUGAUUCUCUUCAUAUGACAUUUUAUUGCUGUCGGAAUGUUGAUUUUUCUUGAUUGUCUUCAGUAGUAAUUCUGCUGAUAUUGUAAAUCUCAAUAAUUUUAUGUAAUAGCAUAAAUCGACUUUGGGAACCGUGGAUAAUUUUGAAUUUAGAAUCUUUCUUAAAUUUAGUUCUUGUUGUUGACAAUAUUAGCAUAUUUACUAGGCAGUCAAUCAGAACAUUAUAAAGUUUUGAAAUGCAUUCUUGCUGUUAUGUCAUAUGUGGCAUUUAUGGACCAGGUGUAGCAGUAACGUUGUCUGAAACUUUUGGGAAAGCAUAUUUUGUCUGAAAGUUGUUUGUUUAUGCUUCAAUGGGUCAUUUAAUGGAGAGUUAAUUUUUUUUUUGUUUUAAUCAAAAUACUGCAUUUAGAAUCUUCUCGUCAAAUCAAGAUUGAAGACUAUCUGCUGAAAUUUUUAGCUCAAAGUUAGUAGAAAGUUUCAUAGGGAAUGUUUAGAUUGAAUUACAGAUGAUGGAUUAUCCCAAUUGCUGUUAAAGGCUGAUAUCGUUUGCUUGUGUAACAUGAUAUCUUAAUUAAAUGGCAUUGCCAAGUGUCUGGUUUAUUUAUAUCUAUAUGAUAUUCACUUAAGUUAAUGUGUACACGUACUUGUUCAAAUGUUCCCUUUAAUUCCUUCUUUUGAUUCACCAAUAGAAUGAGAGUUAGUGAAAAUGUGUUAGUUUCUUUAAGUUUUGGUGGCUUGAGAAGACAACUACCAGUACUUUGAAUAGGUAUUACUCUUCUCAUCCACGGUUUGUUUAUAGUAACUGUUGCCAAUAUUAACUUUCCAUCUUUUGAUUUUACUGUGGAUAGAGAAUCACAUUAGGUUGACAUAUAUGCCUUGUUCUGGUAUGAUUACACAUUAUAUGGCUAUGUGUUUGUCACUUGUGCUAUUUAAGGCGUUUUCUUUUUCAACUGAAAUUUCCAUUGUGUUUUCUGUUAUGAAUGAUCAGGUUGGAGCUCCUGCUCGUGUUGGUUUAGUUGCCCCAAUUGACGUCGUUGUCCCACCUGGCAAUACUGGGCUCGACCCGUCCCAGACCUCUUUCUUCCAGGUGCUGAAUAUUCCCACCAAGAUUAACAAGGGUACUGUGGAAAUUAUUACCCCUGUGGAGCUUAUUAAGAAGGGGGAAAAGGUCGGCUCUUCUGAGGCUGCUC